This 490-nucleotide ribosomal RNA is filed under the name uncultured bacterium. Its description in RNAcentral is "partial 16S ribosomal RNA". It matches the Rfam family "Bacterial small subunit ribosomal RNA", at positions 28 to 507 of the family's 1533-position model. The record is from RNAcentral.
GAUGAACGCUAGCGGCAGGCCUAAUACAUGCAAGUCGAACGGUAUGCAGAUCAAAGCUUGCUUUGGUCUGGUGAGAGUGGCGCACGUGUGCGUAACGCGUGAGCAACCUACCCUUGUCAGGGGGAUAGCCCGGCGAAAGUCGGCUUAAUACCGCAUGACAUCAUUGAGAGGCAUCUUUCGAUGAUCACAGAUUUAUAGGACUAGGAUGGGCUCGCGUGACAUUAGCUAGUUGGUAAGGUAACGACUUGCCAAGGCUGCGAUGUCUAGGGGCUAUGAGAGGAGAAUCCCCCACACUGGUACUGAGACACGGACCAGACUCCUACGGGAGGCAGCAGUAAGGAAUAUUGGUCAAUGGACGGAAGUCUGAACCAGCCAUGCCGCGUGCAGGAGGACGGCCCUAUGGGUUGUAAACUGCUUUUAUACGGGAACAAACGUCGGUACGUGUACCGGUCUGAGCGUACCGUAAGAAUAAGGAUCGGCUAACUCCGUG